This 301-nucleotide ribosomal RNA is filed under the name uncultured bacterium. RNAcentral's name for it is "partial 16S ribosomal RNA". It matches the Rfam family "Bacterial small subunit ribosomal RNA", at positions 509 to 808 of the family's 1533-position model. The record is from RNAcentral.
CAGCAGCCGCGGGAAUACGGGGGGGGCAAGUGUUAUUCGGAAUGACUGGGCGUAAAGGGCACGUAGGCGGUGAAAAGGGUGGAAAGUGAAAGUCGCCAAAACACUGGCGGGGUGCUUUCUUGACCAUUUCACUUGAGUGAGAUAGGGGAGAGUGGAAUUUCGUGUGGAGGGAUCAAAUCCUAAGAUAUACGAAGGAACGCCAACCGCGAAGGCAGCUCUCUGGGUCCCCACUGACGCUGGGGUGCGAAAGCAUGGGGAGCAAACAGGAUCAGAUACCCCGGUAGUCCCUGUCUCUUAUACA